UCCCUGGUGGUCCAGUGGUUAGGACUCUGAGCUUUCACUGCCAGGGCCCAAGUUCAAUCCCUGGUCAGGGAA
Molecule: non-coding RNA, 72 nt
Organism: Bos taurus (domestic cattle)
Lineage: Eukaryota; Metazoa; Chordata; Mammalia; Artiodactyla; Bovidae
Source: Rfam